AGUGAACGCUGGCGGUAGGCCUAACACAUGCAAGUCGAACGGCAGCACAGUAAGAGCUUGCUCUUACGGGUGGCGAGUGGCGGACGGGUGAGGAAUACAUCGGAAUCUACUUUUUCGUGGGGGAUAACGUAGGGAAACUUACGCUAAUACCGCAUACGACCUACGGGAGAAAGAAGGGGAUCUUCGGACCUUGCGCGAUUGAAUGAGCCGAUGUCGCAUUAGCUAGUUGGCGGGGUAAAGGCCCACCAAGGCGACGAUCCGUAGCUGAUCUGAGAGGAUGAUCAGCCACACUGGAACUGAGACACGGUCCAGACUCCUACGGGAGGCAGCAGUGGGGAAUAUUGGACAAUGGGCGAAAGCCUGAUGGAGCAAUGCCGCGUGGGUGAAGAAGGCCUUCGGGUUGUAAAGCCCUUUUGUUGGGAAAGAAAAGCAGCAGGUUAAACCGCCGCUGUUCUGACGGUACCCAAAGAAUAAGCACCGGCUAACUUCGUG
Molecule: ribosomal RNA, 492 nt
Filed under: uncultured bacterium
Lineage: Bacteria
Description: partial 16S ribosomal RNA
Rfam family: Bacterial small subunit ribosomal RNA
Source: RNAcentral